GAUUAACGCUAGCGGCAGGCCUAAUACAUGCAAGUCGAACGGUAACAGGUGUAGCAAUACAUGCUGACGAGUGGCGCACGGGUGCGUAACGCGUAUGCAACCUACCUAUAACUGGGGGAUAGCUCAGAGAAAUCUGAAUUAAUACCGCAUAAUAUUAUUGGGAGACAUCUCCCGAUUAUCAAAACUCCGGUGGUUAUAGAUGGGCAUGCGUGACAUAGCUAGUUGGUGAGGUAACGGCUCACCAAGGCUACGAUGUCUAGGGGGUCUGAGAGGAUGAUCCCCCACACUGGUACUGAGACACGGACCAGACUCCUACGGGAGGCAGCAGUAAGGAAUAUUGGACAAUGGGGCAACCUGAUCCAGCCAUGCCGCGUGAAGGAUGAAGGCCCUCUGGGUCGUAAACUUCUUUUAUACGGAAUAAACCCUUCUAUUCUUAGAAGGCUGAAUGUAACCGUAAGAAU
This 461-nucleotide ribosomal RNA is filed under the name uncultured bacterium. RNAcentral describes it as "bacterial SSU rRNA". It matches the Rfam family "Bacterial small subunit ribosomal RNA", at positions 28 to 487 of the family's 1533-position model. The record is from RNAcentral.